Molecule: transfer RNA, 74 nt
Filed under: Petroschmidtia toyamensis
Lineage: Eukaryota; Metazoa; Chordata; Actinopteri; Perciformes; Zoarcidae
Description: tRNA-Leu
Rfam family: tRNA
About the family: Transfer RNA (tRNA) molecules are approximately 80 nucleotides in length. Their secondary structure includes four short double-helical elements and three loops (D, anti-codon, and T loops). Further hydrogen bonds mediate the characteristic L-shaped molecular structure. tRNAs have two regions of fundamental functional importance: the anti-codon, which is responsible for specific mRNA codon recognition, and the 3' end, to which the tRNAs corresponding amino acid is attached (by aminoacyl-tRNA synthetases). tRNAs cope with the degeneracy of the genetic code in two manners: having more than one tRNA (with a specific anti-codon) for a particular amino acid; and 'wobble' base-pairing, i.e. permitting non-standard base-pairing at the 3rd anti-codon position.
Source: RNAcentral
GUUAAGGUGGCAGAGCCCGGUAAUUGCAGAAGGUCUAAGCCCUUCCCACAGAGGUUCAAAUCCUCUCCUCAACU